AGUGAACGCUGGCGGUAGGCCUAACACAUGCAAGUCGAACGGCAGCACAGUAAGAGCUUGCUCUUACGGGUGGCGAGUGGCGGACGGGUGAGGAAUACAUCGGAAUCUACUUUUUCGUGGGGGAUAACGUAGGGAAACUUACGCUAAUACCGCAUACGCCCUACGGGUGAAAGCAGGGGAUCUUCGGACCUUGCGCGAGUGAAUGAGCCGAUGUCGGAUUAGCUAGUUGGCGGGGUAAAGGCCCACCAAGGCGACGAUCCGUAGCUGGUCUGGGAGGAUGAUCAGCCACACUGGAACUGAGACACGGUCCAGGCUCCUACGGGAGGCAGCAGUGGGGAAUAUUGGACAAAGGGCGCAAGCCUGAUCCAGCCAUACCGCGUGGGUGAAGAAGGCCUUCGGGUUGUAAAGCCCUUUUGUUGGGAAAGAAAAGCAGCAGGUUAAUACCCCGCUGUUCUGACGGUACCCAAAGAAUAAGCACCGGCUAACUUCGUG
This 492-nucleotide ribosomal RNA is filed under the name uncultured bacterium. Its description in RNAcentral is "partial 16S ribosomal RNA". It matches the Rfam family "Bacterial small subunit ribosomal RNA", at positions 29 to 507 of the family's 1533-position model. The record is from RNAcentral.